Molecule: ribosomal RNA, 484 nt
Filed under: uncultured bacterium
Lineage: Bacteria
Description: partial 16S ribosomal RNA
Rfam family: Bacterial small subunit ribosomal RNA
Source: RNAcentral
AUUGGACGCUGGCGGCAGGCCUAACACAUGCAAGUCGAGCGGAUGAAGGGAGCUUGCUCCUGGAUUCAGCGGCGGACGGGUGAGUAAUGCCUAGGAAUCUGCCUGGUAGUGGGGGAUAACGUCCGGAAACGGGCGCUAAUACCGCAUACGUCCUGAGGGAGAAAGUGGGGGAUCUUCGGACCUCACGCUAUCAGAUGAGCCUAGGUCGGAUUAGCUAGUUGGUGGGGUAAAGGCCUACCAAGGCGACGAUCCGUAACUGGUCUGAGAGGAUGAUCAGUCACACUGGAACUGAGACACGGUCCAGACUCCUACGGGAGGCAGCAGUGGGGAAUAUUGGACAAUGGGCGAAAGCCUGAUCCAGCCAUGCCGCGUGUGUGAUGAAGGUCUUCGGAUUGUAAAGCACUUUAAGUUGGGAGGAAGGGCAGUAAGUUAAUACCUUGCUGUUUUGACGUUACCAACAGAAUAAGCACCGGCUAACUUCGUG